This is a long non-coding RNA of Sardina pilchardus (European sardine), 264 nucleotides long. RefSeq lists it as uncharacterized. The record is from RefSeq and is a predicted model, not a curated record. NCBI's taxonomy places the organism in Eukaryota, Metazoa, Chordata, Actinopteri, Clupeiformes, Clupeidae. The transcript is spliced from 3 exons.
AGACGCCUCAAUCUUGUUCCUCGCACUUCCGGCUACGUCCCGUCGACCGGUGUCUUGCACCCUACCUGUCGCUGGCCUUACUUGGCUCUGUUCGUUGGAUUGUGCCGGUUGAAUGCUUGCAUCCCGUGUUGUUGGGUGAUAUUCUGAACCGAAGAGCUAGCUGGAGCCAGCGAGUGUUUUGGCCUGGGAGGGAAACAGCUGAUUUCCUGAUACCGUGGGUUUGGGGAUAGCGACCACUGCUGUUUUGCCACGCUUUAUCUUCAC